This 440-nucleotide ribosomal RNA is filed under the name uncultured bacterium. RNAcentral's name for it is "partial 16S ribosomal RNA". It matches the Rfam family "Bacterial small subunit ribosomal RNA", at positions 338 to 795 of the family's 1533-position model. The record is from RNAcentral.
CCUACGGGUGGCAGCAGUGGGGGAUAUUGCACAAUGGAGGGAACUCUGAUGCAGCGACGCCGCGUGAGGGAAGAAGGUUUUCGGAUUGUAAACCUCUGUCUUCGGUGACGAAACGAGACGGUAGCCGAGGAGGAAGCCACGGCUAACUACGUGCCAGCAGCCGCGGUAAUACGUAGGUGGCAAGCGUUGUCCGGAAUUACUGGGUGUAAAGGGAGCGUAGGCGGGAAAGCAAGUUGAAUGUUUAAGGUACGGGCUCAACCCCGUCGAGCCGUUGAAACUGGCAGACUUGAGUUGGCGAGAAGUACGCGGAAUGCGCGGUGUAGCGGUGAAAUGCAUAGAUAUCGCGCAGAACUCCGAUUGCGAAGGCAGCGUACCGGCGCCAGACUGACGCUGAGGCACGAAAGCGUGGGGAUCGAACAGGAUUAGAUACCCCAGUAGUC